CCCUCUGUCCCUAUCUACUAUCUAGCGAAACCACUGCCAAGGGAACGGGCUUGGAAAAAUCAGCGGGGAAAGAAGACCCUGUUGAGCUUGACUCUAGUCUGGCACUGUAAGGAGACAUGAGAGGUGUAGCAUAAGUGGGAGACGGUAUCCAUCCCGUCGCCGGUGAAAUACCACUACUUUCAUCGUUUCUUUACUUACUUGGUUAGGCGGAGGGCGUUCGUCGAGGGUACACACCCCGGCGGUACGGUCUUCUCGCGCCAAGCGUUCAAGGGUUGCCGGCGGACAGAAGUGCGGGUCGACGUCGGUGAGUCGUGUAACCUGGCUUGCCAGGCCACGGCCCGGCGACGGCUUUAGCACGCUCUGAACCCGACCGGCAAACACUCCCUAGCGUGAUCCGAUCCGAGGACACUGCCAGGCGGGGAGUUUGACUGGGGCGGUACAUCUGUCAAAGAAUAACGCAGGUGUCCUAAGGCCAGCUCAGCGAGGACAGAAACCUCGCGUAGAGCAAAAGGGCAAAUGCUGGCUUGAUCCCGAUGUUCAGUACGCAUAGGGACUGCGAAAGCACGGCCUAUCGAUCCUUUUGGCUUGAAGAGUUUUCAGCAAGAGGUGUCAGAAAAGUUACCACAGGGAUAA
RNAcentral lists this ribosomal RNA (633 nucleotides) under Taperus fasciatus. Its description in RNAcentral is "eukaryotic LSU rRNA". It matches the Rfam family "Eukaryotic large subunit ribosomal RNA", at positions 2335 to 2829 of the family's 3401-position model. Lineage: Eukaryota; Metazoa; Arthropoda; Insecta; Hemiptera; Cicadellidae. The record is from RNAcentral.